CCUACGGGUGGCAGCAGUGGGGAAUAUUGCGCAAUGGGCGAAAGCCUGACGCAGCGACGCCGCGUGAGGGAUGAAGGUCUUCGGAUCGUACACCUCUGUCAGCAGGGAAGAACGGUCACUGUGCUAAUCAGCAGUGAAUUGACGGUACCUGCAAAGCAAGCACCGGCUAACUCCGUGCCAGCAGCCGCGGUAAUACGGAGGGUGCGAGCGUUAAUCGGAAUUACUGGGCGUAAAGCGCUCGUAGGCGGUAUGUCAAGUCAAGGGUGAAAUCCCCGCGCUCAACGUGGGAACUGCCUUUGAAACGGGGAAACUGGAGUGUGUGAGAGGAUAGUGGAAUUCCAGGUGUAGGAGUGAAAUCCGUAGAUAUCAGGAGGAACAUCAGAGGCGAAGGCGACUAUCUGGCACAUAACUGACGCUGAGGAGCGAAAGCGUGGGUAGCAAACAGGAUUAGAUACCCCAGUAGUC
This 465-nucleotide ribosomal RNA is filed under the name uncultured bacterium. RNAcentral describes it as "partial 16S ribosomal RNA". It matches the Rfam family "Bacterial small subunit ribosomal RNA", at positions 338 to 795 of the family's 1533-position model. The record is from RNAcentral.